UGUGAUGGAGCAUCAAUGCCUGUCCGCCAU
Molecule: non-coding RNA, 30 nt
Filed under: Mus musculus (house mouse)
Lineage: Eukaryota; Metazoa; Chordata; Mammalia; Rodentia; Muridae
Also listed under: 1 other name
Source: RNAcentral